RNAcentral lists this unclassified non-coding RNA (351 nucleotides) under Hevea brasiliensis (rubber tree). The record is from RNAcentral. Lineage: Eukaryota; Viridiplantae; Streptophyta; Magnoliopsida; Malpighiales; Euphorbiaceae.
AAAAAAAAAAAAAAAAAAAAAAAAAGCCCCAAGGAGGGCUGGAAAAAAAAAAAGCAUGAGUAUCAAUAUCAAGAUUAAUCCCAUCUAAUCCGCGUUGAAGUUAGCUUAUCUGCAAUCAUGUGUAAUGGGAACCUUCCAAUUUCGUUUCUAUCGUCAAAAGUGCUUGAGGCGGCGCAUAAUUCAGAUAUCUUCAAGGCUUUUGUUCCACUCCUGUUUGGCUGAACGUAAUGUGUGGUUUGGAGGCUUUGUCACUGGUGACGCGCUGUGCUUCUGGAGCCGCGCCUUAAUUGCUCUAUGCUUUCUUGUAUGUGAUCAUCCAUUUAUUUCCUGCAUUAACCAAUCCAUGUACAG